CGUAUAGGCUGGGGGUGCUUGCCGCGCGGCGGCAGGCUGAGAAUCACCCUUUGAACCUGAUUCCGGUUAAUACCGGCGUAGGAAAGCCCUAACUUCCUUGC
This 101-nucleotide non-coding RNA is filed under the name Methylomicrobium album. RNAcentral's name for it is "TPP sequence". It matches the Rfam family "TPP riboswitch aptamer (THI element)". From Rfam's summary of the family: Vitamin B(1) in its active form thiamin pyrophosphate (TPP) is an essential coenzyme that is synthesised by coupling of pyrimidine and thiazole moieties in bacteria. The previously detected thiamin-regulatory element, thi box was extended, resulting in a new, highly conserved RNA secondary structure, the THI element, which is widely distributed in eubacteria and also occurs in some archaea. Lineage: Bacteria; Pseudomonadati; Pseudomonadota; Gammaproteobacteria; Methylococcales; Methylococcaceae. The record is from RNAcentral. RNAcentral also lists the same sequence under 1 other name.